RNAcentral lists this ribosomal RNA (331 nucleotides) under uncultured bacterium. Its description in RNAcentral is "bacterial SSU rRNA". It matches the Rfam family "Bacterial small subunit ribosomal RNA", at positions 568 to 898 of the family's 1533-position model. The record is from RNAcentral.
CGCGUAGGUGGUUGUGUAAGUCAGAUGUGAAAUCCCCCGGCUCAACCGGGGAACUGCAUUUGAUACUGCAUGACUCGAGUACAGGAGAGGGAAACGGAAUUCCCGGUGUAGAGGUGAAAUUCGUAGACAUCGGGAGGAACACCGGUGGCGAAGGCGGUUUCCUGGCCUGAUACUGACGCUGAGGCGCGAAAGCGUGGGUAGCAAACAGGAUUAGAUACCCUGGUAGUCCACGCUGUAAACGGUGAGUACUGGGUGUGGGAGGUGUAAUGCCUUCUGUGCCGAAGCUAACGCGUUAAGUACUCCGCCUGGGGAGUACGGCCGCAAGGUUGAA